This 253-nucleotide ribosomal RNA is filed under the name uncultured bacterium. RNAcentral describes it as "partial 16S ribosomal RNA". It matches the Rfam family "Bacterial small subunit ribosomal RNA", at positions 524 to 776 of the family's 1533-position model. The record is from RNAcentral.
UACGUAGGGUGCGAGCGUUAAUCGGAAUUACUGGGCGUCAAGCGUGCGUAGGCGGUUCGUUAAGUUCGUUGUGAAAGCCCCGGGCUCAACCUGGGAAUGGCAAUGGAAACUGGCGGGCUGGAGUAUGGCAGAGGGGGGUGGAAUUCCACGUGUAGCAGUGAAAUGCGUAGAGAUGUGGAGGAAUACCGAUGGCGAAGGCAGCCCCCUGGGAUAACACUGACGCUCAUGCACGAAAGCGUGGGGAGCAAACAGG